AAGUACGCAGCUGAGGUCUCUGCCCAGGGAUGAAAUCCAGUAUGGAUACGUCAUCAUCCUUCAACCCUACGCCCCGGCUGGUUGCAUUUGCUGGGGUCAUUGGCAGGCAUUGUAUUACCCUGUUCCCGUCCUGGCCUGUGUGAUCUCUUCGGAGAUUUGAAGACUGCAAGACGGAGUCGGGUACCGUUCCCAGGUAAGAAACUGCCUUUGUUGUUCAGGAAAACAAUCGUGCUAUGCACCGUGUAGUGCUGCACUUUAGUAUCCUCUCUCUUGCCGAGCAAUCCAGGAAAUCCCCCAUUACAACUUACUGUUCUCAGCCAGGGUGAAGUUUUGAGGAGGCUGGAGGUUCUGGUUGAAAUUCACAGGAAACGCAACACCCUCGUCUCCGUAUUGCAACAUGCUGUACAGUUGGGCGUUACGGAGCAGAGGUGCAGUUGGUCCCCACUGAAUAAAAUCCAUUUGUAAAUGGAUCCUUAAUGAGACACUUUGCCUUAGUCAUUUAGUGCAUUUAAAACUGACAACAAAACUGUUCAGUGACGCGCCAUCGCAUGAGUUACCUUGUAACCUAAGUCCUGCCGCCUGACAGCUUUUAACGUAGGGCCUGAUCCUGCAUCGCUGAAGUGAAUGGGAAUCAGACUGGGACCUUAAGGCAAACGUUUUCAAAGUACCUGAGGUGAUGUCUACACUAGCAAUGCUUCACCGUAUACUAUCCCGGCAAAGUGCUGCUCUCGGUGCUGGUAUAAUAAAACCACCCUGCAGGAGCGAAACAAGCUUCACUGGCAGCUUUGCCAGUACGGCUGCCUCUACGCUAGAGGCUUCAGCGGGCACAGCUGUGUGGGCCAGAGCUCACACCGCUUCACACCUGACCGACACAACGAUGCUGGCAGAAGUCUGUAGUGUACACCUGGCCUGAGCGAUUUAGGAGCCAAAACCCCAUUUUCAGAAAUGACCGUGACACUUAAGUAAUCCAAGUCCCACUGAUUUUUCCAUGAGACUGAUGCUCUGACGUGCCAGUGGCACUGCUGAAAAUGGGACUUAGGCCCUUCAGCUCUAUUCCCCCCUUUUACACACACCCAUCCUCUCAUGCACACACACACGGGUGUGUAUAUGGCUAUAGUUGAGUAUACAAGACACACAUUUGUAUAUGCCCAUAUUGUGUGCACUCUCAAACUUUGGCACCGGUUAACAACUUGAUGCAGGUGGGUCGUUGCUCCUAAAGCCGAAGGCCAGAUUUUGCCCUUCGGAAGCUCCCAUAGUGUGUGUGUGACUUUUCUGCAGAUAUCUGUGCAACAUAAGAGUCGUGCGAGCUACUUGCUCUGCUGCUGUCUUGCAUGUCGCCACGGCUGUCAGUGGGGGUGGUUCCUAUCUGCAUGUUUUGAUACCUAGGCCAAACUGGAUCUUUUUUCCCUCCGUGCAUGCUUAGCAUUUAUAUAUUUAUUUUCUUUCACCUCUUUGCUAAGACACCAUGCCACCUUCAGCCAUAGAAGUGGCUGUUUUCCCACUGGCAUUGAUGAGCAUGGGCCAUGUUAACUGUGAACAGUGUUGUCUGACAGAUCAUCUGCACUGGAGUGGAAUGCCAGGAUCCCAGCAUCAUCUUCUCUGGAAGAGCAUCACUCAGUGGAGGGGAACGUCGAAAACAUAGAAGUGUGGGAAAGAGGCAUCUCCCCUGGAAACCUUGUCCCUCCAUUCAAGACCUCUGAAUUAUGUGAUGGGCACAUUGGGAUUUAACCAGCCUGUGGCUUUUGUGAUCAGCUGAUACAAACUAACAGCUGCUCUUCCACAUCUGACUGGCAGAGUUUCUCUGGGAUGAAAUACAAUAGCACUUGGAAGAAGACGUCAAGUAACACAGACAAUGGUUGGAAUGAGCGAGAAGUGCUGAGGAGAGAUGUCCAGAUCCUGAAGUGAUCUUGCAACCAAGUUAGUCAAACAAGAAAAACAGCUUUCCUCUUUUCUGGCCUCUUCUGAUGAAACAAGCCCCUAAGUCACGUCCCUUUGUGGGGACAAAGGUUGGUCCUAGCUCUGUGAAUAGGCGGGUGUGGCCUCUCUCAUGUCUCCCCUCCAGAGCAGCCAGUCUCCAGACUGCUAUUUCGAAGUGGUUUGGAGAGGGAUGGGGGCUCUUUCGUUCUCUUGCCCUACGAGGACACUUAAGUCUGUGAAAUUUGUGUUUGUAUGGUUCUUGUCUUUCACUAAAUGUUCUGAAAAGAGCAAUUCCAACAGGUUCUGAGGGCGGUAACGCAGAGGGGAUUUGUUGAAGAUGUAGCGAGGAGGGGCAUAGAGUUGGGAAGGGGAAAAUGCUCCCCUUGUCCUCUCUGCUGCUUGCUUUCUUCACCCUUUAUUUCAAUAAAAAGUGAGGUGGCUCAUGAAGGCGAGGCUUGAGCCCGUCAUAGCACAGGCAGGAGCUGGUUGAGUUUCCCACCACACAAUACACUUUUAACUAUGAGUCAUGCUGCCCUUUCCCGGUGAAGGGCCUCCUAGCUGUGGGCUCCCACUUGUGCUGGUAGUUCUGUAACGCACACAACUGGGGUAUAGCUUGGGCCUCAUCCUAUCUUGCGUGUGUGAGAGAGGAUUGGAAGUGAAAGGUGAUAGUCACGCUUUUGGAAAACUUUUCCUAUUCCUGGGUCUAGUGCCCAGGAAACGCCCCUCUGCAAACCCUUAAAACACCCUGUGUUAAUCACAGAAGUGCAGGACUGGAAGGGACCUCAGUAGGUCAUGUAGCCCAGUCCCCUGCACUGAAGACAGGACUAAGUAAUAAACAGACCCAUCCUUGACAGGCAUUUGUCUAAACUGUUCUUAAAAACUGCCAGUGUGACAGCCACCUGGAAUCUGCUCAGUGCUGUGGGGUUGAGGAGCUUGAGCACGAUUCAGGGAGCCAGCAAUGGUGCAAGCCAUAUUUUCUGAGCCUCAGUUUCCCUAUUUGCAAUAUACAGAUAUUUACCUCCAUCACAAGAGUGAGGAUAUAUUAUCCACUGUCUCCAAUGCUAUGUAAGUGUGGCUGUUAUUGACCAUUGGAGACAGGCAUUGAUCCAAACACCCCUGUCCUCUGGGAAAGUUUGAAUCUAGAGCAGCAAUUUGUGGUGCCAGGAGUUAUUACAGUCGGUGAUACUGAGGAUGACCUGCUGAAAUGUGAUCCUCGUAAAUGUGAAAUAUCCUAUCGUCCCCAUCCUGGAAUACCAAUCAGCCUGGCUUUGCUGUACCUCUCCCAGAGCAAACUGGAAUGUGUGCUAAGGAUGUCCUGCUACUCUCAGGAAGCCUUCCAGGAUCAAGAAUCUCUGCUGGUCUCCAUGGGAAAGUCCAAGAUUCGGAGGCAGGGGGGUGGAAAAUCAUUCUGAGUUGGAACGAAAAGCGAGAAUUUCUUCAUUUCCCAUGCAAGGAAUAUUCUGAAUCUUUUUGUUUCGAUAACAUCAAAAUAUUACAAUAUGAAAUACUAAAUAUAAUAUAUAUUAUGUAGAAUAUUAAAUAGAAGGGAUAGAAAUUUAAUACACCUCUACCCUGACAUAACCCGAUAUAACACAAAUUCUGAUAUAACACGGUAAAGCAGUGCUCUGGGGGGGUGGGAGUGCGCACUCCGGCAGAUCAAACCAAGUUCGAUAUAACACGGUUUCACCUACAACGCGGUACGAUUUUUUUGCUCCCGAGGACAGCGUUAUAUCAAGGUAGAGGUGUAUUAAACUCAGUAUUUUAAUAUGGUAUAAAAGUAGAAAUGAAACGAAUCUAAACAAAAUGUUUUUAGUUGCUUCAAAAAUUUCCCAUCAAGAAUGUUAUUGAAAUCAGCACAGUCCCCUGAUUUCAGCAAAACUGCAUUUUCCAACAGCAAACUGUUCCAUCAUUCUAGUGAGUAUCUGCAUGGCUUUUUUAAACAAGUCUCUGCACUCACUAGCGGAAGCAGAGCUGGGGCUGGGCAGUGGCAUGGGGAAUGUCAGAGGGCUGUUUAAGGUGCUGUGAUCUAAGAUACUGGCACACGUGUUGGACUUAGUGCAAUGGGUUGAAAUCCUGGCAGCAUCCCUCCACCCUUCAUAAACGGAGAUCCAGGUGUUUUGCUGUAAGGGGAGUAUUAGAUGAACCCUUAAAAACCAAGGUUUUGUCUGCACCCAUUUCACAUUGACUUUGUUGCCCGUGGGGAUUCUAUAGCAUGUCUCCUAAGAAAAGGAGGUUGUCAACGUGUCUUUGGCCAAAAUGUCCAAUCUCCCAUUGCUGUUGUGCUGUCUGACUAACUUCACAGUCUGCCACUUAUUGCUCUAGCAAUGUCCCCCGAGCCUUGACUGUUCAGGCGAGCGGUUGUCCUCGGAGCCCAGCUCCAUUAGUAACGUGCCUUUGGAUUUUACAGAGUGAGCUUGAAGGCUCCAAAUAUAGAUGUUCCGGUUCACUGGCAGCUCUCCCUGCCUGUCUCACAAAGCUAUAAACUAGUAUAUCACAUCCUCCCCCCACCUGUAGUUGGGCUGCCAUGGGAGCAGGAUGAUCCUUCACACAUCAGCCUCCAAACAGGAUUCACCUUUCCUCACCUGCAUUUCAAUAUUCACAGCAUGAUGCUGUUAAUUAGAAAACAAGGUAUUGCAAAAAGAGGACCCAAGCUACCUUCCACUCAGGUAACCUUCUGUCACUUAGAUUUAUUCCCCCAGCAGGCUGAAUAGAAAGCGUCAGUGUUUCCCCAGCGCAGCUGUCACUGCUGUUUCACGCUCCCAUCAGUACAAGACACCAGCACGAUGAGCAAGUGACCUAGGAAAUGCAGAUCCCGGUCCAGCCAGUCAGGCAGUCAUCAGCUUCCACUAGUAAUUCCCUUUCUGGUACGUAGGAAGCUGGUCUAGGUAGACAGUAAGAGGCUGGAAGGGCACUACAAGCUUAGAUAGCUACCUUGGCUGUGUGCUUUGUGUGCUCGCAUCUGAAUGUUAGCUUGGCGCUUGGAUGCUCCCUCUCUGUCAGUGCUGCCAUCUUAUAAGCUGAUCUGUUUUACUGCUUGCUUGUUUUCAGUAAAGGCAGGGGAAUAAGGAAGAGAAGUCUGUUCUUUGCCUGUUAGGGUUACAACCAGCUAGUGGGCGAGAGAGAAAUUUUAAAAUCCAGGUUAAAAAGAGACCCAUAAUGAAAAGAUCUUGUUAAGGCUUAAGAGAAGUUCUGGGCCACUUGCGCUCAUUAAAGAUCCAAAAAGGAAAGCUUGCUCAUCCUGCCUAAAUGUUAACAUUGCCUUCCUAAAUUCCCCUGUAGUUGCAAUAACAUUUAUUAUUCUGCAUGCUUCCUGUCCUGACCUGUUGUGUACAGUUGCUGCACCCUGGUAAGAGUUGCCUGUUUGAACCCAAAGCAGGCUGCAUUUCAGCAGUGAAGGAAAUGACCCUCCCAUAGAGUUUGCAAAGUGCAGUGACACUCUUCAGCCUGAAUACAGCUAUCUAUGAAUGUACAGGGAACAAAAGCAACCCCUGCCACCCGUUACUAUGGAGGGGUAUCUGGGAUCCUUAUAUUUAGAAAAGGAAAUAACUGAGGUAUUUCAGAUCGUGCGGUGGGGUGAUCACUGGAUUGUUGAUGGGAGAAGCUGUAAGGAUUUGUCUACGUUUGAAUUUUCAGUAGUGCUUAAUUAACACAAGUGUGAAUUCUAGUGUAGCUGGACCACCAAAGUUAGUGCCAGGAUGAAAACAUUUGUUGCUUGUUGUGUUUAACCACAGACUGCAGCUUAAUGCUAGGUACAGUUUAGGACAGUAAGUGGAUAGCAAAUCCUAUUGAAAAUACUGGGGAUUUUAGGAGUGUAGCUUGUUUGAAUUAGGGUAACUAACAGCCCAGUGUUUGCUAUGACUAGCAAUAAACAUGUGUCUCUACACUUGAAUUUUCAGUCACGUUUUAACACAUUAAUACAAGUGUGGACACAAUGGGUAAAAUUUUCAAAAGCACCUAAGUGCCCUAGAAGCCUAAAACCCAUUGACUUUCAAUGGAGCUUAGUCUCUUUUGAAAAUUUGAACCAUCCUAUAUUAUUGUUUUAUAAAUGUUUAUUAUUUAUUUGUAUUACCAUCGCGUUUAGGAGUCCCAGUCAUGGACCACCUAGAUGCUGUAUAAACACACACUGUUCCUGCCCCAAAGAGCUUGCAGAGCUCCCCUCUAUAUGAAAAAUAGCCAUCCUCUUGCUUUUCCUUUUUUAUGCAAUAGCACCGAUGGAUUAACAAUACAGUCCCUGGAUCUGUACAGCUCCACUGGAUCAAAGCAGCACAGCCUUCUGCAUGGAAAAACUGUGCCUCUCUACACUUGAGAGCAUUUUUUAAAAAGUUAACCGAAAAGAAUAAAUAUAGACUCAUUUACCUGAAGUUUCCAAAACCUUCCAUCAUUCUAAAGGAUCAUUAAAGAAGAUGAAUAACUCCACAUGAGUAGGAGGCAAAGUUUUGUUGUGGAUUAUAAACUGGAUAAUGGGACCCUACCAGAUUGUGUCUGUCCCAGCACAUCAGCAGGGGAAUACACUGCUGUAGUCUAAUAUGAAAGGACCUAUGGGAAUUUAUUAUUAAAACUCCCAUUGAGUUGCAAGGGGAGCUGAGCACCUAAUUAAUUUAAGCUCCUUUCAACUCCCAGAUGAAAAUGUCUCGAUUGCCUGAUGCUUCAUUACCAUUCAAGAAUGGUAAAGCCAUGUUUUCCUACCAAGGCGAGAGGAAAUGUUAAUUAAAUACAGCAGUAGACUUAACAGUUCUUUCUGAACGCUCUCUAUGGUGCCUAGACUCUUUAGAGUUAGAUUUUUCCCAUUAUGUCAGCUGUGCGCUGAGACCCCUCCUAUCAUGCUGCCCAAUAGGGUUUCAUUGUUACCUUGUUUGUCUGUCUGUCUGUCUCCUCUUGUCUUAUACUUAGACUGUAACUCCUUUGGGCAGGCAGUGUCUUUUUGCUCUGUAUUUGUACAAUGCAUAGCACAAUGGGAUCCUGAUUAAUGACUGGCUCCUAGGUACUAGGAUAUACUACUAUUAUUGUUAUAAUGUUACAAUAGUGUCUUGAUGGCCCCUUCUGCCCUUAAAGACAAUAAGUUAUCUUCUACUACUAAUAGAGAGUUCUGGUUCUUGUCCCUCUCAAACCUAUUCCUGUAAUAAUAUCUUGUUGCCCGGUUGGAGAUGGCAGCAUCUGUUGUUCUUCAUGUUUCCUUUGUGCCACCGAAGGACCAGAAUGUGGUGAGUAUCCCCAUUGGAGGGGCUUUAUGAAAUAUUAGCCAUUUCUGCCUUGCUGCUGCUCUCUGUUUACCUGCAAAGAACUGAGGCGCUGCUGCUGUUGGCUAGACAAUUGCGGCACAGGACUUCAAAGGUGCUGCAGUUGGGAGUUCCACACAACCCUCGCUGCCUGCAUAGACAAGUGAUGUACAAAGAGGGAAGCUUGGGGUAUGCUGGACACUAGCAGGCAUCUCGCCGUAUGUGGAGUCUAUGCUGACAGGGUUGAAUGACAUCAAAAUACAUGAGCAGUCAGCAUCCCUAUAAAAACUGGAGCUGGAAAGAGCAGCUUAGAUGUGGGCAACAGCUGGAUGGACAGAGGCAUGGUUGUAGGAGCAUGAUUGUUCACUGGGCAAUUACCUGAAGGGAUACAUUGUGUGUAGGGUAGAGACCGGAGUAGCCAGCCGCAGAAGGGACUACUGUGCUCACAGCACAUCUUGGAAGAAGUCAGGUAAUGUCACGCCCUGCUACCUCCCUCUGGGUCUGGUGUGCCUACUGUAUUCUGGGCUCUAGCAUGGCCAGAGGUACAAAGGUUGUGUCUUUGCUACCCCCAAGUCCUGGCCAUGGGUUCAUUGCCUCAUGCCUGGACUUUUGCAAAGAUACUUCUGCCAGGCUUCCCAAAUCCACCCUAUUCCACUACAAUUAUGACUCCCCUGCCAUCCUCUCCCUCGGGACCUAGAUUUUCAAAAACAGGAGGCUCAAGUUAGGAACCUAACUAGAUUUUCCAAGAGGAAGGAGGGUAGAGGCCACGCAUAGUUGGCACCAGUCUCAGCAGUUGUGUGUGGAGAUGCAUGUUGGGGUCUGGGGCAAAAGGCAGCAUCCAGUAAGGUGAGGGGGAGGAGUUAGAACCUUAUAGACAAUUACACUCAUCCAGAAGCCCAAAGUGUCAUACCUGUGCUGCUGUAGUAUAGACAUACCUAAAGGUAUAAAUUGAUGUAGAUCACUGCUCCUUUCCUUCCCACACCGGAGUGCUCACUCAGAUCUAUCUGUGGCACUGAAGGAACCUAAAGUCCAAUGGUGGAGAGCUAACUCUCUGGCGGAAGGAACACUUUGUCUACCUACACUGGGCUCUGCCUUCAUCUACUCACAGGUGAGUGAAACACGACAUAGUGCAGCUCUGCUUCCCAUGUAACGCAUAAGAACAUAGUAUCAGAUGCUGAAGAAUAGUUCUGCCAGGGUGUAUUAAUCAGCAUGUAUUUAUUUCAUCCCAUAAGAUAACUUUUCCUUUAGGAAACAUGGUUGGCUAAGGCCAUCACCCCCUGAAAGUGACAGCAGUGAUGCAUACCCGUUUACAGCUCUACUGCCAUCUGUACGAGUAAGUGCACAUAAUACUACGUACUGCAAUUUCCUCAUGGAGGAACACAGUAAAAUGGUCAUAAAACAGCUCCCCUUCUUGUCUUAAUCCUUACACAUUAGCAGAGCAUUGCUGCCUUGGCAGCAGGGCGGUUGGACCAUUCUCAGCAGCUAAUUAAAAAUGUUUGAUCUGCUCAUCUCUUCACCAUCCCUAUGGGAGGAAUGCAAGGCUCUCUCCCAAAGAGUAACUGGAGGCGAAGAAACAGUUAACAAGGUUCCAAGCAUUGCAGAGGUUCUUCACACGCUGAGUGUGUGCAGCAUUAUACGAUUGAACAUGAGCACAAAGGGUUCUCCUUAGUGAAAGAGUGAUCGUGGGUUCAUCUUUUACCAGCCAUUCCCCAUGCAUAGCUGAGGUACAGCACGGCUGCUAGAUAAAUGAUUUAACCAGAGUUACCAUAUGAUCAACUCCACAAGCCACAUCAACUACCUCGCCUGGGAUUGUCACCUGGAACAGGAAAAAAAGAAAAUUUGCUUUCAGGCUCUUUCUGCCACACAUGUGCAUACACCCAUACCAGCCAGGCUGAGUGGCUUUUAAAGCGCAAGCCUCUAGAACAACUUGGAGAUGGGGUUCAGUCUGGGGAAUUGAGAUUAGAUUAAAGAAACGUCAGCUCCAACCGCAGGCACAGAAACAGCCAACCCUAAGGAAUUCAUCAACGUGCUGUAAAGCACAGACUUGAGUAGUUUUCCAUGGAAGUACAUAAUGCAUUUAUGGAGCGAGCGGAAAGCUCUAAAUCAGACCUGGUUUGUUGGGAAAUGCAGGGGAUUGUAGCCCCAGCCCAUCUGUUCUGAAAGCAGCACUUUGAGUGGAAAGGGCAUAGCCUAGAGCCCAGCAAGAUGAUUUGUUUAUGCAUCACAGAGGUUGGUGUAGCUAAGCACUGAGGACAGACAGAAUAGUUAAAGCCUGGGAGAUGCUUCAUGUGUGGUCUCAGUUCAAGGACAAGGGUGGAUUUUUGAACUGGGAGCACAAGCAGGUUAGUCAUAUUGAGGUCUUUAAGAACAGCUGAACACUAGAGUUUCAAAUGUGCAGUCCUCAAUGAGGAAUGAAAUAGCUGCUAAUGGCUGAUUGCCUUUUCCCCCACCUUGCAUAAUUACAGCAAUAUUUUGCCUUCUAAGGGGGGAUAGUAGCUAACAGAUCCUCUACACUACAUAGGGUGCCCUAGGGGAGCUCAUGCUGCUCCCCCUUUUAGAGGAAGAGGAAGAUGCAGUGCACCCUAUUCCUGAUCAUUUUUAAUGGACACACGACUGCCAUCUACUUUCCUAGCAGCUAUGUCCAGGGAGAAAUGGGAUAGUUAGAAUUUAUGCACUUGGCAUCUGUGCCUUUUAAUUCACUGAAUUAAUUAUAGUAAAGAUUUAAUUACCAUAGUAUAAUUUUGUAGCAAAUCUUAACUAUCAACGUUGUAAAUACUUCUUCCUCACUUCUUUAAACUGCACUUCUGCACAAAAUGGUCCCUGCUUUAAUGUUUUUAAAAAGGAUAAUUUUAGGUGCCAAAAACUAUAUGCAUGUGACACGAAAGUUGAGAAUGCAAAGUCAGGGGUUAGACAGUUGUGCCAUGUGCCUGAGUGAGCUUUGCCAGAAGCCUGCGUUUCAGAGGGUGACAAUCUUGUCGGAAAGGUGUGGACACUUUCAAACUCUAUGCUCCAUGAACAUAGGUAGGGGGAUUUUUUCUUUAAUUUAAAUGAACUUUCAUACCAUGUUUGACAUAAUCUUGGCCAUCUCUGCUGGACAGGGCUUGGGCACUUGCUAUAUAGAACACUUAACUAGAGCCCAAAUCUCUCAGGCCUCCUGCUACAGUACAGACUAAUUAUAAAAUGCCAGAACAACUGGAGACAACAUAUAGCUCUGACCUGACGUCAGGAAAUCUGAGAAGGAAUUGAUAAGAUCCAUCUUGCAUUUGAAGUUUUCAUGUUACUUUCAGUGCCAAAAUCCACGACUAGGCACCGAGUGGGGGAGGCCUCACUACCCAUUGUUACAGUACACUAACUCCUGAGCAUGUUUAAUUCUAGGGCAGGGUUGUGCUUGAAUGCUGUGUACUUACCCUCCAUGGGAAAUACUGGUCUUCCAUUCUUCCAAUCCCCAAGGACCCCCUUAUAUUCUUGCCCCACAUAAACAGCUCUCCUCUGUCUGCAACAAGCAAAAAACCUGGGUCAGAUUGCCUUUUAAAAGGUCUUCACAUACGAAGUAAGUAAUUUUAUUUAUGAAGAAAGGGACUGCAGAUUGAUACUUAUGGAGGUAUUGACUAGAAGGCCAUAACCAGAGAGUUAUAAAUCCAGGAUGAAAAACCUAUAGGUCCUGUAAGUUUAGUAAGAGAACACUUGAUAGAGCAAUAUCAUCUUCACAGAAGAGCUCAGGGAACAGAGGCAGACAAUGGGUUUUUGGUCUGAAUCUUUUCUCCUCCACUCACCCAACAGCUCUAAGUGCAGGAUUUUGUUUAAAGGAACAGCCUGGCCGAGUCCACUAGAGAAUUCUGAAAUUAAUGGAAGCUCCAGGUGCUCAAUUUCAAAACUCAGGUUCAACAUCCUCAGUCUGUGUGCACAGCUCUUAGAGUCAAAGCAGGAGCUGCGAGGACAGAGGGCAGUGAUGUGACCUUCAAGAUGUUUAACUUUAUGCAUCGGAGCAAGAGCCACAGUGAGCCCCGUAAGCAAAGAGAGUGCAAUCCAGCAUAAAGCCACCACUCCAAGGCUGAUAAAUCUGUUCCUUAAGAGUGGUGGCUUCCAAUACGGGCCGAGCAAAACUGCAUUCAGUACAUUUGGAGAGGUCUUAUGUUUCUCAGUCACUGUAGGUGCUCUUGAAAAUGUUACCUGAGACCCAAUUUCAAAAGUUAUUUAUACCAGUGAAAGAACUCUGGGUAAAGAAGGCCUAACUAUUUCAGCAGGGGUGUGAUUUUUUUUUAAACUGAAAUAGUUAGAGGAAGAACCCCCUGUGUGGGCACAGUUCUACUGGUAUAUGGCUAUUCCUGUAUGAGACUGGAAACACCAGUGUAAAGCACCCUACACCACUUUAGUUAAAGUGGCAGCGAGAACUGUACAGCCUGUGCGCAUAGACAAGCACUUAGGAGCCUAAAUCCCAUUUUCAGAAGUGGCUUAGGUGCUUUUGAAAAUGUUAAACAUCUUGGUGCAAUGACAUGCACUCUCCCUUUCUUGGAUCAAUGUGCCCCCAGCAUUAUGGAAAGUCACUUGAAGGAGAUGGUGUAAAUUUUCUCUAAUCCUUCUCAUUUGGCUACAGCUCAACUCCAAAAUUCAGCCUAAUAUCAAGUUAUUUUACCUAUCAUUGACGAAAGCUUUUACUCUUGAGAUAGAGUAGCUACAUCAGCUUCCGUGGGGCUGGGCGUUUUCACUGACCUUUAACAAGUCUCCAUGUUCAGGCUACAGUAUUUUCUUCACAUACAAGCUCGAUUUAUUAUAGUUACAGCUGCACUAACGGUGCUGCUAAGAUUGUCAUGUCAGUAUUUGCACGGUAAUGCUAUGGUUUUUCUGCUUCAGACACUAGGUUAGUUAGUUCAACUUGCAUAUAUUUGCUGUGGUCCGUUCCUUAAGUAAAUCUGGUCUGGCUGCAAUUUAGAAAGCAAAGGGAAGGGGCACAGAUCUGUUUUACUGAACACAGAUUAGAAAUGUAUCGCAGCAGUGUCUAUAGAGGCCAGGCUACCAUUGAAAUGGGCUGACUGAAAACAUGCUCAAACCCAUUGCAUUGUUUCAGCAUGGUAUUUUGGAGGUUCACAUUUCACGUUUAAGAAGCGUGUUUUAGAAACUGAAACAUCUCAGUAAGAUUUUAAAGGGGGGAACAAAUUGAAGAGACAGUUUCACUACUGAUCCAUGGCCUGGAAACUUACUGUUAAGUGCAGCAAACUGGCUGAGUCCGCAGCAAAUGCGAGAAACGCGGGUGUCCGGACUGAAGUCUGACAAGCCAAAGAGGGUGGGUGGGAUCAUUUCUGGAGUUGCUGUUUCCAUCAGGUUUGGUCCUUUCCCAAGAAUUCCAUAUCCCCAGACAAAGACAUUUCCUUCUUCUGCGUUACAAUAAAAACAAAUGCUGUGAGUACGUUCUCUCUUAUGAAAUUAAUACAGCCUCAGAAACCUAAUUAGACCCAAAUGGCUAUUUUCUUUGGGCUUGGCAAGUCAUUCUGACUAGUUAAAAAAAAACACAAUGUGUUUCCAUUUGGCUCCUUCCUGCAUUUGAAUUCUCUCUAACUUUGCCGUCAAAGCCAAUUUGCCUUGGAUCAUGUUUCCCAAAUGUAGUUCUGCCUCCGCAUUAUUAAAACGGAGUGUUCUCAGUUUGUCUCUGAGAUAGAACAGGCCCGCAGUGCCUGAGGUAUAACAAACAGAGACACUUUUAUGUCCCAGCAUUCCUACCCUCUUGGAUUUGUGACUAUGCCCUGCACUAGCCAGCUCUCUUUCUGGUGUGAGACUUCAAAAAGAAUUCUUCAAGUUCAGUACUUGUGAAAGCUGCCAGAUGGACAGUGUGGGAGAAGUAAAUCAUACAGACACAGCAAAGGCAAAAGCAGUGCACGCUCCCUGUGCCAACAUGCCUCAGCUCUGACCUUCAGGAACUUCUUCUAGGGCUAAAUAUUUCAUUCCAAACACCCUAUUCAAGCCCUCUUAAAAUAACAGCCUGUAAAAAGUCUAAAUGUCAAUCAUAUCAGACAUCUGUAAAAGGCGUAGCAAUAGUGUAACCGUCUGUCUCCUCUCCCAUCUUAUUAAAUCCAACAGGAGCCCUGCAACAGCAAAAAUGAACUCACCAUUUACAACAGCAUUGCCUGUCCCUCCACAUGCAGCAUCCUUUAUCUUCCCAAUCUUGAAUGGAUUGUUCAGGUGGUUAUGUAAACUAUGGAUGCUGGACUGAGGUCAUGGUGUAUGUGAUCCCACAGCUGGAAAAUGAACUAUGUUCAGUUGAAUGAGGCCGAAGGAGAAGACAACUGAUUGGGGAAAGUGGCAAAGCUGAAAUAAUCCAUCUUGAACUACAAAACUUUUAAGGGGUGCAUACCUAAAGGAAUCCAGUCAUCCCAGAGCUGAAGAACUAGAUAUGACACGGAAGCUAGCCACUCAACAGGAGUGUUUGCAAACAAUCACCAGAGACCAGAAGGCCAUAGCCUGUAGGUCUUUUGUGACAGAGUUUAUAAGACAUUGGAAAACCUAUAGUUUAGUGGGUGUAAAUGCUGAAUGUUAGAUAGUUGAGCAUUUCCUUUUCCAGAAUAGUCAUUACCCAGACUUGGCUCGAAGGCCACAUCUUUGGUGACCAAGCAAUCUAACUCCAUUUCCAAUCAUUCUCAGUAUCCUCUCCAGGAAGCCUCAUAUUGGAACAGUCUGACCCCACACUAUUUAGCCUAUUAAUUAUCUCGAACAUCCUCAAACUAUAUAAUUAUCCCUAAACUGGGGACACAUCAGGAUUAGCAAAGGGAACUAAACUAAAAGUUUGCUAAAAUGGCAGUAAUUUGAUGGUCUGCUCUUAAUUUUCCUUCAAAUAUAGCUGAAUAUUAAUGAACUAUUAGAAUACGACCUCUCCACGGAGCUGAACGAGGCAAACAUCUGCUUAAUUACCACAGUGCCACAUUCGAGGCUGAGUCAGCAUUUCAAAUCUAUUUACCAUAAACAUUUGCUCAAUGACCCUGUGGGAUUUUUGUAGAAGUCUGUGUUCGAGCCAGUAGGGAGGAAUGGAUGCUAUGCAUAUGCUUCUGGUACUCUCAAACGUACAGCACACACCUUGGAUCCCAUAAAUUGGAGUGAGGUCAAAUUUGUCAGAUUACUUUUUGCUCAUGUAUUUGAAAGCAGAUUACAAAUAAAUUUGAAAUGGAUGAAUUUAAAAAAAAAA
This is a non-coding RNA of Chrysemys picta bellii (western painted turtle), 14304 nucleotides long. The record is from RefSeq and is a predicted model, not a curated record. NCBI's taxonomy places the organism in Eukaryota, Metazoa, Chordata, Testudines, Emydidae.